CAGCCGCCGCGGUAAUACGAGGGGGGCAAGCGUUGUUCGGAAUUAUUGGGCGUAAAGGGUGCGUAGGCGGUUUGACAAGUCUUAUGUGAAAUCUUCGGGCUCAACCUGGGAAUGGCGCUUGUGACUGCAAAGCUAGAGUGCGGCAGAGGGGGAUGGAAUUCCGCGUGUAGCAGUGAAAUGCGUAGAUAUGCGGAGGAACACCGAUAGCGAAGGCAAUCCCCUGGGCCUGCACUGACGCUCAUGCACAAAAGCGUGGGGAGCAAACAGGAUUAGAUACCCGGGUAGUCCCUGUCUCUUAUAC
RNAcentral lists this ribosomal RNA (301 nucleotides) under uncultured bacterium. RNAcentral describes it as "partial 16S ribosomal RNA". It matches the Rfam family "Bacterial small subunit ribosomal RNA", at positions 509 to 807 of the family's 1533-position model. The record is from RNAcentral.